GACCUGAGUCAACCUCAAGCUUCUGUGCAA
This 30-nucleotide non-coding RNA is filed under the name Homo sapiens (human). Lineage: Eukaryota; Metazoa; Chordata; Mammalia; Primates; Hominidae. The record is from RNAcentral.